UACGAAGGGGGCUAGCGUUGCUCGGAAUGACUGGGCGUAAAGGGCGCGUAGGCGGAUCUGUCAGUCAGACGUGAAAUUCCUGGGCUUAACCUGGGGGCUGCGUUUGAGACGGUGGGUCUAGAGUUUGGAAGAGGGUCGUGGAAUUCCCAGUGUAGAGGUGAAAUUCGUAGAUAUUGGGAAGAACACCGGUGGCGAAGGCGGCGACCUGGUCCUGGACUGACGCUGAGGCGCGAAAGCGUGGGGAGCAAACAGG
RNAcentral lists this ribosomal RNA (253 nucleotides) under uncultured bacterium. RNAcentral describes it as "partial 16S ribosomal RNA". It matches the Rfam family "Bacterial small subunit ribosomal RNA", at positions 524 to 776 of the family's 1533-position model. The record is from RNAcentral.